AACGAUCUCACGCGAUGACGGGUAGCCGGCCUGAGAGGGCGACCGGCCACACUGGGACUGAGACACGGCCCAGACUCCUACGGGAGGCAGCAGUGGGGAAUAUUGCACAAUGGGCGAAAGCCUGAUGCAGCGACGCCGCGUGGGGGAUGACGGCCUUCGGGUUGUAAACCCCUUUCAGUAGGGAAGAAGCGAAAGUGACGGUACCUGCAGAAGAAGCGCCGGCUAACUACGUGCCAGCAGCCGCGGUAAUACGUAGGGCGCAAGCGUUGUCCGGAAUUAUUGGGCGUAAAGAGCUCGUAGGUGGCUUGUCGCGUCUGCCGUGAAAACCCGAGGCUCAACCUCGGGCGUGCGGUGGGUACGGGCAGGCUAGAGUGUGGUAGGGGAGACUGGACCUCCUGUGGUACCGGGAAAGGGUUUAAAAACAGGAAGGACUUUUUUUUGCCAAAGGCGGUCUCUGGGUCAGUUUUUGCCCCGAGGAGCAAAAUCCCCAGUUGCGGACUCCAUUAGGAUUCCGGGGCGUUCCUCCCCCAAUUUUGGCGGUUUAUCUUUUGGGGCC
This 556-nucleotide ribosomal RNA is filed under the name uncultured Brachybacterium sp. RNAcentral describes it as "bacterial SSU rRNA". It matches the Rfam family "Bacterial small subunit ribosomal RNA", at positions 262 to 816 of the family's 1533-position model. The record is from RNAcentral. Lineage: Bacteria; Bacillati; Actinomycetota; Actinomycetes; Micrococcales; Dermabacteraceae.